This 2918-nucleotide unclassified non-coding RNA is filed under the name Acyrthosiphon pisum (pea aphid). RNAcentral describes it as "uncharacterized LOC107884503, transcript variant X2". The record is from RNAcentral. Lineage: Eukaryota; Metazoa; Arthropoda; Insecta; Hemiptera; Aphididae.
UAUUCUCCUCUAUUAAUAAAAAAAAAAAUUAUCAAAUUUGGUUAACUCUACAGGGCAGGAUCAUUAUUCCCGUAAACCGUGUUUUUGAGGUCAAAAUCACAUAGGCAUCGGGCGCCUUAAAGAAUGGAUAGGCCAUUUACGGGAACGAACAUGAACAUUUGUUGAGAUUAUAGAGGUCUUAUCACAAAUAGAUAUAUGUAUAAUUAUUGUAUAUCAUUUAUGAUAAGACCUCUGUCAGAAUGAGAAGCAAUGAUAAAAAACAGUCUUUCUCUCUUCCCCAUUCCGGCACACUACUCUUUAUUUUAUUAAUAUAGCUAUUAAAUGGCCUAUCCAUUCUUUAAUAUCUAUGCAUUAUUGUUGCUUACGACGUUUUACAUGUUUUCCCGCGCAUUUAUCUGAUAACGUUAUUGGUGAUUACGACUAAAAGUCUAAAACGGAUUUUUGAUUUCUUAAUAAUUAUAAUUAUUCUUUUUACUAUUUUUAUAACUAGUUUGAAUGUUUCCAUCUCGCGUCUGUUAUUUUAAUUGAAAUUUGAAUUAUGACGUCCAGAAGUCGAGCAAAUAAAUUAAUCGCCGCUGCUACCAAGCAAUGCAAUAAUGAUGUUGUAAGUAGUGUCAACUCUAUAAUAUUACCUAAUUCAGAAAAUGUUCGUUUGACAAAUGUUUUGUUUAGUCAAAUUAUGAAAGAUAAGAGUUCUGAUGAAUGUAAUACAGAUUUUAAAAACAAUACUGUUGUGGUAGAUAAUAAUAUUUAUGAAGAAAUAAUCAAGAGGGGAAAAAAAAAGAAGAAGGUUAACAUACGUGCAACUAAACUACAAAAAUUAAAUGGUGUAGGUAAAUUUGUUAAAACAAAUUCAUGUAUAACUAAAAAAAAAUGUCAAUUCAAAUGUUAUGAAAAAUUUUCUGAAAAUGAUAGACAAAUUAUGUUUGAUAAUUUUUGGAAACUUGGAAAUAAGUCAAGACAACGUGACUUUUUAAUUCAAUGUGCUAUAAAAGGAAGUGUUAAAAGAAUAAGAACCAAAAUCAUCAGUAGACGUUCCAACACCUACAGCUAUUUUUUGUCAUACAUGGGUGAAAAAUAUCAAGUUUGUCAGCAGUAUUUAUUAACGAUGUUAGAUAUAAAACAAAAAUUUUUGCUUUAUACUAUUAAGAAUUCUUCACCAGUUGCUACAGCACUCAGUGAUGGUCGUGGAAAAGUAAUUCCCAAGAAUAAAAUAAAUGAAAUAACAGUUUCUAAACUUCAUGAAUUUAUUAAAAAUCUACCUGCUGUUCCUUCACAUUAUUGCCGAGCAUCGACAACCAAAAAAUACUUACCAGCAGAGUUUAUGAAUAUUCUUCGACUUUAUGCCAUUUAUAAAGAUUAUUGCAAAACAAAUAAUGAUAUACCUGUUUCUAAAUUUUUUUUUAGAAAAGUAUUCACAGAAGAAUAUAAUAUAGGUUUUCAUUUACCUAAAAAGGAUAAAUGGCGUACAUGUUCUAAAUUUGAUAAUAUUAUUAAUUUGAAUGGAGAUAGUUCACAAGAUGAAUCAAUCAUAAAUCAUCAAAAACAUAUAAAUGACAAAGAAGACUGUAAAGCUAUGUUUCUAAAAUAUAAAAAACCAUUAGACAAUACUAUGUCAUUAUGUGUCAGCUUCGACUUACAAAAAGUUUUAAAUACUCCCAAGGGUGAUAAUAUGAACUUAUAUUAUAGUCGGAAAUUUAGUACCUAUAAUUUAACCAUUUAUGAAAGUAGAAACCAAAAUGCUUUUUGUUAUUUGUGGGGUGAGACAAUAGGUAAUAGAGGUUGCAAUGAAAUAGUUUCAUGCAUUUAUAAUUAUUUAAAUAGUGUUGACCAACGCCAAUCUAUAACAUCUAUUGCAUUAUUUUGUGACUCAUGUGCAGGCCAAAAUAAGAAUAAAGCAAUGUUUGCAAUGAUUAUGUAUGUCCUUAAGUUUGAAUUAAAAUGUAUAACUGAAAUUAAGUUGACAUUUCUACUACCUGGGCAUACCUAUAUGCCAGUAGAUAGCAUCCAUGCUACUAUUGAACUGUUCAUUAAAAAAACUACUGUAUGGACACCUAGUGAAUGGCCACCAAUAAUAAGGAAUGCUUGAACAAAUCCCAGACCUUUAGAAGUAAUUGAAUUAAAAUCAACAGAUUUUUUGGAUUGGAAACAGUUUUCUACUACAUUUUUCCCUAACAUUCUAAUAACAGAAACUGGUGAAAGAGUAAUGAACUCUAAAUUGAGGUCAUAAUUAUUCAUAAAAAAAGAUGAAGAUGUAGAUAUAAUGAUUUUUGAAUCUUAUAAAUUUGAAGAAUGUCCCAAAAAACUACAUGUCAUCAAAAAAAGAGGGAGAUUUGCACAAACACCAACAUUGCCAAACAAAUGCUAUGAAAGAAAAUUACCCAUUUCAUCUGCCAAAUUCAAAGAUUUGUCAGAUUUGUGCAAGAAUGGUAUCAUCCCAGAAAAAUUUCAUGCAGAGUACUAUGAUAUGAAUUCUAGUGAGACAAUUAGAGACUGUCUUGACGAGUCUGAUAUUGAAGAUUCUGAUGUUUCUGAUGACUAUUAGUAAUUAUUAUAAAUAUUAUGUUUCAAGAUAAUUUUAAUUGGUCUAAUUUUUUUAUUGUUACUUAAAGGAUCAUUUUUUACUUAUUUACUAGUCAAGAAGACUGAACAUUAACUGCAUAAUAUGCAAUAUUAAAAUAUUAUUAUUAUUAAGUUUUUAUAUUAUACAGUUGAUUCAUUUUAUUUUAUUUUAUUUUAAACGCAGAGGUGUUUUUAGUUUUUAACUAUAGACUAUUAUGUUAUUUUGUUAUUAAUACAAUAUUAUUAUUUUUAGGAUAAUUUUUUACUUAUUUAGUAGUCAAGAAGACUGAACAUUAACUACAUAAUAUGCAAUAUUAAAAUAUUAUUAUUAUUAAGUUUUUAUAUUAUACAGUUGA